Triticum aestivum (bread wheat) is the source of this 369-nucleotide long non-coding RNA. RefSeq lists it as uncharacterized. The record is from RefSeq and is a predicted model, not a curated record. NCBI's taxonomy places the organism in Eukaryota, Viridiplantae, Streptophyta, Magnoliopsida, Poales, Poaceae. The transcript has 3 exons.
GAGCUCGAAGGCCAACAUUGUUAGCAGAGAUGUUUUGGGCAAACAACUAAAAGAAGGGUAUACUAUGCUUGACACACAUGAUUCCGUGGCCUGAUAGAUGCCUAAGACUUGGGCUUCCACUGUACGACACAAGUGGAGAUGACUCUGUUUUUUGACCAUGAUCUUGAGAGUUGUUCCAAGGAAAACAACAGUUCUGUUGCAAUAGUUCUUUUAAGGUUGUACAUGAUAGUAUGUACCCGGAGAACGCAGGCCGUGCCGGUGAUUUGGGAGAUUUGGCGUGAGCGCAAUUGCCGCAUUUUUCACAAUUUGGAUUCGUCGGCUGCUAUGCUUACAUGCCUUGUCGUUGACGAAGCCAAUGUUGGAAGGAGG